UGUUUGAUUGAGUUGUUGACC
RNAcentral lists this unclassified non-coding RNA (21 nucleotides) under Dictyostelium discoideum. The record is from RNAcentral. Lineage: Eukaryota; Evosea; Eumycetozoa; Dictyosteliales; Dictyosteliaceae.